AACCAUUCUUCCUUUACUCGGAUCGUCCGGCACGUUCCUGCCGGUGAAGGGGGCCUCAC
Molecule: non-coding RNA, 59 nt
Organism: Streptomyces tsukubensis
Lineage: Bacteria; Bacillati; Actinomycetota; Actinomycetes; Kitasatosporales; Streptomycetaceae
Source: Rfam